This 332-nucleotide unclassified non-coding RNA is filed under the name soil metagenome. RNAcentral's name for it is "partial contains 5.8S ribosomal RNA, internal transcribed spacer 2, and large subunit ribosomal RNA". The stretch from base 1 to 120 matches the Rfam family "5.8S ribosomal RNA", at positions 35 to 154 of the family's 154-position model. The record is from RNAcentral.
GAUGAAGAACGCAGCGAAAUGCGAUAAGUAAUGUGAAUUGCAGAAUUCAGUGAAUCAUCGAAUCUUUGAACGCACAUUGCGCCCCCUGGUAUUCCGGGGGGCAUGCCUGUUCGAGCGUCAUUCCACCACUCAAGCCUCGCUUGGUAUUGGGCGACGCGGUCCGCCGCGCGCCUCAAAUCGACCGGCUGGGUCUUUCGUCCCCUCAGCGUUGUGGAAACUAUUCGCUAAAGGGUGCCGCGGGAGGCCACGCCGUAAAACAACCCCAUUUCUAAGGUUGACCUCGGAUCAGGUAGGGAUACCCGCUGAACUUAAGCAUAUCAAUAAGCGGAGGA